RNAcentral lists this long non-coding RNA (1523 nucleotides) under Crocodylus porosus (Australian saltwater crocodile). RNAcentral describes it as "lncRNA (ENSCPRG00005007431.1)". The record is from RNAcentral. Lineage: Eukaryota; Metazoa; Chordata; Crocodylia; Crocodylidae.
CUCUGCUGUGCCUUCCUGCGGAUGCAGCUCCUCCCAGCUUCUCUGCCGCCAAGGGCGCCUGGGGUCAAAUAUUCCCUUUCUGAACAAACAGUAUGAUUGGGUGGGAGGAGGCUGGGGAAAGGGAGCAGAGAGCAGCUCUUCAGCACUGUGCAAACCAGACCUCAGCCUCCAGGGCACAGAGCAGCCUGGAGAAGGGCCCUGCACUUUGCCACACACCUGAGCACAGGGGCUGAUCGCACUGCAGUAAGUGGGGGUCACUGGAGAGACAGCGGUUCUGGGAAGGGAAAGAGAUGGAGGGCAGAAGAGAGGAGGAUACCAGCUGGAGCCUGUACUAUACCACAUGGCCUCAGAAGCAGGCAGCAAAGUAAACUGAGAGGAAAUCUGAGCAGCAAAAUCUAUGAUGAAGCUAUGGCAAGCGGGAACAUAACUGUGAUUAUAGCUCCCAGUUUCCCUGAAAACCUGUGCUGGGAUUCCAGUGUUUCCAACUUCAUGGAGCUUGGAGAGGAUGGUACCAUCAAUAUGAAACCAAGUGAGCAAAAUUACCCAAGUAACGAGAUUAGCACUGCUAAAUUGGAAGUGAAAACCUGGUAAUGGAAGACAUUGAUUUUUGGAAAAUACAGCAUGUAGGCAUCAAAGUAAAUGGAUCUGGGGACAGUAAAUUAAUCUUGAGGAAGGGCUUCCAAACCAAAAUUGUUGUCAGAAACCAAUUAGAGGCCUUCUAUGCCAAUACACAAUAGAUCAAGAAAACAUGCUUGUUAUAAGGAAGCAUUUUCCAUGCAGCAAAGUCCAUGUAACAAGUACCUGAGAAUCAGAGCAAUGGUUUGAGCCAAGUUAGAAACUAGUUAUUAGUCACUGAGCUAUUACCAUAGGUAAGAGAGAUCAAGAUCUAGGCAGUGAACAAGCAGGGCUUCCUUCUGAUCACUGGUCUGGGAGAUGCAGUCUAUCAUUUUAACAUACUUCCUGCUGCUGUUCUGAAGCACCAGUCGACCUUCAGUUGUGCAUCUCAGAUGAAUAAGAGUCUAAAAUUGGCUCUAGCCAGUGGACUGGUAUCCUCCAGACAAUGCUAAAGCCAGUUGUUUCAACUAGUAGCACCCUUCCUACUUGAUACUAAACUCCUGCAAUCCCUACCAAUGCCCUCUAAUCCUCAUCCAUGAUAACACCUGUGUUCCAACUCUGGGCCCCCAGCCAGCUUACCCCACCUAUUCUAGCCAUUGGCAGACUGCCUUGCCAUUGCUGGGUGGAAAGGACAGAAGGCAGCAUGAGCCAGGUUUCCAAUGUCUCCAAAGUCAUAGAAAGGAAAAUUCCCAAACUGGCUGGGGAAUGUCUACAGAGAGACAUCAGAAAGUGAGUCAAACUUUCCAAAGCCCCUAAAUGACAUAGCCCCAUUUUCCAAAGCCCCAUUUUCAAAAGUGACUGAGACACUUAGGACCUUGUAUCUCCCUGAUAGUCAAUGGAUUCCGGCUCCUAAGUCACUCAGGCACUUUUGAGAAUAUGACUCAGCAUCCCUGCUAAGCAAGCCAUCC